UACGUAGGGUCCAAGCGUUAAUCGGAAUUACUGGGCGUAAAGCGUGCGCAGGCGGUUGUGCAAGACCGAUGUGAAAUCCCCGAGCUUAACUUGGGAAUUGCAUUGGUGACUGCACGGCUAGAGUGUGUCAGAGGGGGGUAGAAUUCCACGUGUAGCAGUGAAAUGCGUAGAGAUGUGGAGGAAUACCGAUGGCGAAGGCAGCCCCCUGGGAUAACACUGACGCUCAUGCACGAAGGCGUGGGGAGCAAACAGG
RNAcentral lists this ribosomal RNA (253 nucleotides) under uncultured bacterium. Its description in RNAcentral is "partial 16S ribosomal RNA". It matches the Rfam family "Bacterial small subunit ribosomal RNA", at positions 524 to 776 of the family's 1533-position model. The record is from RNAcentral.